AAAAAAACCACACUGAAAUCAAAUGAUCUCUUUCAUUAUAAGGAAGCAAACGUCCUGUUCUCUUUCUCCAGUGACUAUUGCUUCACUUACUAAUGGCUUGAAAUUCCCUUUUUUUCCCCCCCCUCUUGCCUAGGUAUCACCAAACGCGUCUAUCUAAUCAUUGAAAGGGGGUCUUUCAAGGUUUGGCGUAGCGGCUAGAUCACAGCUCGCGGGUGACGUCUGUCUUCGUUCAUUACUUCUGCUUCCCCCAAGUUGGCAACAUCCCUGUCUGGAAGCUGAACCCACUCGGCUGGCCCCCGAUGCUUCUGGAAGCUAUGGCUCGGCACCGCACCUGGAACCCAUCUGGCAGCAGUGGAGGCGAGCGGAACAUGACACGCGCCACGGCCAGCCACGUCGGAAGUGUGACUCGAACAAAAGGAUGAAAACGACUCCAAGCCCAGUUAAGUCGAAAGCGGCGUUUAUUCAAACAAACCAAGCUCCUCUGUUUCCUUCCCAACGGGAUACGUCUUCAAGUGGGGGAGCCCACAAGUGUAAAAAGACAAGGGCUUUAGAAAACCCGACUGUGAGGUGCCCAACCACGUGGACCGUGGCCGUGGCUGCGAAGCCACUUCCGAGGCGGGGCGCGUACCUCCUCCCGCCAACUGCUGGCCUAGCGCGCCCUCAGGUUCAAUCACCGUGGCACGCCCCCAACGGAGGGACAUCCCAAGAGGGACACAAUAAACAAUCUUCAGCCUUGUCAGAAAUGCAAGUUGCACGGAGCCGGGCACGGAAGAUAUUCAUCUGAGACACGCACACCAAUUCGGUCUGCGAAGUGCUACGGUCGGCACCACUUGAGAAUCCGAGGUUUGCAGCUUCCCGGCCCGAGCAGGCACACCCCAAGGCGGCAGCAAAGUCACCCUUCUUACGGAAAAAAAAAAAAAAAAAAGAGUCACCGCCUCCAGGGACCGGACGUGGAGAUUUUAAGCCUGAAGUCUCCCUGACUGUGCAAAUGAACAGGAGCAGUAGGAAAUACCUCAUCGCGGAUGGCAAAAAUUCACCUUUCAUUCGCGCGUAGCAGAUCCCAGCCAUCGCUCCGGGGUUGAGACAUGCUUAUUACCGAAGUACAGCUGACCUACGGGCACUCGCUCAGGCCGCCUCCUCCCGGGUUCCAGGUACCUCCCGGGCUAAAUAGGGUUGCCAAGCUCACGGAUACAAGAAUGUUACACGUGACACAUUAGAUGGCGCAUGGCCUCCAACUAGGAAAGUGAAAAAACGAUCCCGAUUGUAACUCCCAGCCACAAAGCACACACGGUUAUUUAGGAAGGCGGAUGGACCCUCCCGGCCCAGCCUUUGGCUACAGGCAGAUCUUCAAGAGAAAAACGUGUGGCCACAUCACCCAGCACGAUGUAGUUUAGAAACGCCAGACACGUGUACGUAACACUGACGCUAAGAAACCCAGAGAAGGCUCAGGACUAGGGAGAAACGCUGUACUGAUUGGCUGAAGUCACGUGUCUUUAUGACACUCGAAAUUCACCCCGGGAACUCACGAGACUAGAGGUUCCGCAGACAGGCUGGCGUCACUACAAUCCGGCCGACCCGCCCCCAGGAUGACAUUCUCCCCGAGGCAGGGCGUGGGCUCAAGCGGCGGCUGGAGUUCACUGGACACGUGGGGAGCCUACGGAACUGCGCUGAUUCUGAACAGAACCAGGGUGAGCUGCGAGAUGUAUGGCCUGUGAGAUGCCACAAGGCCACGCUUGUGCACAGGGGCACAGGGGCUGACGCUUCUUUCUGCAAGUGUCUCUGACAGCAGGCGUCCCUAGAGGAGGAGUGCGGUCAGGGACCUGUCGGAUUCUUCCUGAGUCAGGGGGCUGCCCGGCAGGGUUGGGCGGACGUGACCGAGUCUGAGUCGCUCUGGCUUCCAAGGCAACUGUCUGAUGCCCACACCCCUAAGGUAACUGCCGACCACCCGCUCUGGCUGCGGCCCCUCGACCCUGCCCUAGGAACAUCCCAGUGUACAACCUUGAGUCUACAGCCUAAGGACUAGGUCUUGCUUGGGAGUUCAUGUGUCUCUAGUUGCGUUAGAAUACUAACGCAACUAAUAUGGCUGUAAAGCAAGUUUCCCUUUAGAGGUUCCUUUGGAAAAUUCUUGGAAAGUAUGGGUGCAAAAAAAAUCAUUUCCAGGGGGUGGAAAUGAGUUGCCUAUGACAUCCUGGGACGUCCUCAGUUUGCCCAGCAGAUCCUUCAGAGCCAUCUGCCGACAAAGGAUCCGGCUUCCUACCCCACCUCCCUUCUCAGAUUCUAGAACCUUCGAAGUCCCAAUCACCCCCUUCCCUGGUCCUCGAAUGAACCAAUCUUCACCUGGCUUGGGCAAUGCGAAGUGUCAGGGGCCGCGUUAUCACGCUGCCCAUGCUGACACCUGACCCGUGACUCCGGCUUGAAUGUUCUUGAAGUUUCGGGCUUGCUGCUGUAGAGAGUAAAUCCCACCUGCCACUGAUUCAGCAACUCUAAGGGUAAGAAACGUGAGGAUUCCCGGAAUUAAUUCGAGCAGCUUUCCCAAACUGCGAAUUCCGCUUAUGUAGUCGCCAUACUUUGGAUUACGUGUUUAUUUCCCUUCCCCACUCGCAAAAUGUAUUUUUCCAGCUUUGCCACGUAAUUGGUCAACCGACAGAAGUUCUGAUCGGAAAUUCUUAAAACCCACUACAAAUGUAUGCGAGAGCUUCUGCUGUAUGGAGUCUUCUUGGCGCUAAAAACCUCGUCCCUCUCUUGGCAAAACCCAAAUUCUACAUUUUAUGAUGUUUAGUUGUUUUUCCUAAAACAGAAAAAAAAAAAAACCCUCUUGGUGGCAAAGUAUUGCCUCUGAA
Molecule: long non-coding RNA, 2840 nt
Organism: Felis catus (domestic cat)
Lineage: Eukaryota; Metazoa; Chordata; Mammalia; Carnivora; Felidae
Exons: 2
Source: RefSeq, a predicted model, not a curated record